RNAcentral lists this long non-coding RNA (2244 nucleotides) under Glycine max (soybean). RNAcentral describes it as "long non-coding RNA (GMAX_LNC001235)". The record is from RNAcentral. Lineage: Eukaryota; Viridiplantae; Streptophyta; Magnoliopsida; Fabales; Fabaceae.
UUAAUCAGAUCAAAGAGUACAAGAUGUACCAUGACCAUUUUCACUCAAUUAUAUUGCAUUUGUUGUCUCAUGCCUUAUGCAUAAGAAAAGUGCAUACUGUACGGAUACUUUUUAUCAGUUCAUUUAUUAAUUUUUACUAACAUGCUAUAGACAUGUACUUACAGUGUAUAACCAACAUUUACUCAGAACCUGAUCCUGCGUGCCUCAACUUCACACACAUUCUAUCUUCCAGCCUUUUUCAUGCAAUCUGACACCACGCCUAAUGCAUUGUUGUCUGUAAUAAAAGCAAUACUCUAAUUCCCCGACGUCUUACUUCCUCCCAUGAAACCUUAAUGGGUACAUGUAUAUUUACAAAUAGAUAAGAUAAAAUAGAGAUGAAGGGAGUAUUUAUCCACAAAUUUUAACGAGAAUGGUUGUAAAUAUAUAUCUUCUAGUAUAUACUUGCACAUAUAUAAUAAUUUUAAUAAUAUAUAUAUAUAUAUAUAUAUAUAUAUAUAUAUAUAUAUAUAUAUAUAUUUCAAUUUAUUGUUAGCUAUCCAUGCAUUCUCAUGUUGUGUUAAAAUUCUAUGUAUUUUAAAGUAAUUUGAAUAUAAUAAUAUCUUUCUCAUUAGAGGAGCUUUUCAAUACUAAGUACGUAAGAAAAAAAAAAUUAUGAAUAGUUAUUUUUUUGUCUUAUCUUUUUCAUUAUAAUUGCUUAUAAAGAAACUUAUUUAGACUGGAUUAAAAUUUAGGCGGGUAUAAAUAGUUAAUGUAAAUAUUGUAAUUUUAUGUUAAAUAAAAAUUAAUAAAUUAACAAAAAGAUGUGAUAACAAAAUAUAACAUACAUUUUGUCACACUUUGCAUGUGUAGAAUUUUAAAAGAAUAAAGAUAUAAAUGUAGCAUAAAUAAAUUUUAAAUAUUACAGAAUUAAUAGAAUAUUUAUAAUCUUAUUGUGAUAUUUAACAAAUAGUAAAAAAAAUAUUUAUAAAUGUAUAGAAAGAUCAAGUAAAGGAUAUUAUAACCAUUUUAAUCUAUUAAUUGUUGCCAAAAAAAAAAAACUAAAAUAAUACAUAUACAGAGUCAUGCGAGAGUUGUAUUGGUUGGCUGAAGAUUCGAAAUAUCAAUGACAUUGUAAUGCAGUGAAGGAAAAGUUAGGUUGAAUUAUUUGUAUGACAUGAUGAUGUUCACUCAAAAAAAAUUUAGACGCUUAGUGCAACGGUCUGUGAUAGGCUAACUAAUCAGUUGUCAAUACCCGCAUAAGGAGUGGAGCCGUCAACCCCAAACAAAUUUGGAAUAGUGGGAUAGCCAUAACGAAAUGAUCGUUAUUUUAAUGUUUUUUUAUAUGUUAAAUAAUUAACAAUAUGUAUAUAUAAGUGCAAAAACAGAAUUAAAUACAAAAAAAGUUCUAGUUAUUUUAAUCUUUUUUUUUAUCACAUUAUAAAUCCUAUCCUACUUAUAUUUUUCUAUUUAUUCUGUUCAAUUUAAGGAAUAAAGACAAGUAUCUACAUUGCAAAGGUCAAAAUAGCAACCCACCUAUCUUAUAAGGGGAGCAAUUAAAUCUUUUCUGGAAACAAAAAUUAAUAAGCAUAUUUAGAUAGAUUUUUAUGUGGAAGGCUUCAAACAGUUUAAUAAAAAAGAUCACUAAAGCCAUGGGAAAGGCUUCAAACAGUUUAAUAAAAAAGAUCACUAAAGCCACCACAGGAGUGCAGGACGCACACACAACAAUUUAAUAAGCACAAAAAAAUCAUAACCUUUUUCAAAAAACAAACAAAAAGAAUCAGAGUCUGUCACACAAAAAUUGUUAUUGGGGCCAACAGUUCAAGUCUUCCUCACCUCAAGCAAGGUGGCAGCGCAGUGCAAACUCGUUGUCGGGGCCACCGGACGCAGGACGCAGGUGUCGGGUCGCAGCUUCGCGGGAUGCAGACUCGUGGUGGCUGGUCGACUUGGGGGUUUUCUAGAAGCUGGUCGACUUGGGGGUUUUCUAGAGAUAUGGACGGGGAGAAGGCCAGGUAAUACAAAAAGCACCAAAAAUACCCUCACUUUUCCACAUUAGAGGGCAUUUCUGAAAUUUCCACAGCGUCACGGUAGCCGCGCGAAAAUCCGGUUCAGAUCCUGCACCACUCCGCCACUCCACCCCGCCGCGAUAGCGGAUAGCGGCGGCGACAUCCGCGACAUUGAACCGCGCCACUACGACCCUCUUCGUCGCGGAUGGGUGCCGCUCAGUCGCGAUAGCGGCCGCGACACCCGCUGUUAAUAACUAUGAUU